UAGGGAAUCUUCGGCAAUGGACGGAAGUCUGACCGAGCAACGCCGCGUGAGUGAAGAAGGUUUUCGGAUCGUAAAGCUCUGUUGUAAGAGAAGAACGAGUGUGAGAGUGGAAAGUUCACACUGUGACGGUAUCUUACCAGAAAGGGACGGCUAACUACGUGCCAGCAGCCGCGGUAAUACGUAGGUCCCGAGCGUUGUCCGGAUUUAUUGGGCGUAAAGCGAGCGCAGGCGGUUAGAUAAGUCUGAAGUUAAAGGCUGUGGCUUAACCAUAGUAGGCUUUGGAAACUGUUUAACUUGAGUGCAAGAGGGGAGAGUGGAAUUCCAUGUGUAGCGGUGAAAUGCGUAGAUAUAUGGAGGAACACCGGUGGCGAAAGCGGCUCUCUGGCUUGUAACUGACGCUGAGGCUCGAAAGCGUGGGGAGCAAACAGGAUUAGAUACCCUGGUAGUCCACGCUGUAAACGAUGAGUGCUAGGUGUUAGACCCUUUCCGGGGUUUAGUGCCGUAGCUAACGCAUUAAGCACUCCGCCUGAGUACGACCGCAAGGUUG
Molecule: ribosomal RNA, 547 nt
Filed under: uncultured bacterium
Lineage: Bacteria
Description: bacterial SSU rRNA
Rfam family: Bacterial small subunit ribosomal RNA
Source: RNAcentral